CCUACGGGAGGCAGCAGUAAGGAAUAUUGGUCAAUGGGCGGAAGCCUGAACCAGCCAUGCCGCGUGCAGGAAGACGGCCCUACGGGUUGUAAACUGCUUUUGUACCGGAAUAAACCUUGAUAUGUAUAUCAAGCUGAAUGUACGGUAAGAAUAAGGAUCGGCUAACUCCGUGCCAGCAGCCGCGGUAAUACGGAGGAUCCAAGCGUUAUCCGGAUUUAUUGGGUUUAAAGGGUGCGUAGGUGGCUUAUUAAGUCAGGGGUGAAAGACGGUAGCUUAACUAUCGCAGUGCCUUUGAUACUGAUGAGCUUGAAUCCACUAGAGGUAGGCGGAAUGUGACAAGUAGCGGUGAAAUGCAUAGAUAUGUCACAGAACACCAAUUGCGAAGGCAGCUUACUAUGGUGGUAUUGACACUGAGGCACGAAAGCGUGGGGAUCAAACAGGAUUAGAUACCCUGGUAGUCCACGCCCUAAACGAUGAAUACUCGAUGUGUGAUAUACGUACGNGCGUCUAGACGAAGACGUAAGUAUUACUACCUCGGAGGUACGCCGCGAGGAGAACGUAAGUAGAGUAGUACGCGUGAGAGAGCGACGGACGACGACGAGGGAGGAGG
Molecule: ribosomal RNA, 610 nt
Filed under: uncultured bacterium
Lineage: Bacteria
Description: bacterial SSU rRNA
Rfam family: Bacterial small subunit ribosomal RNA (bases 1-534)
Source: RNAcentral